RNAcentral lists this ribosomal RNA (404 nucleotides) under uncultured bacterium. RNAcentral's name for it is "bacterial SSU rRNA". It matches the Rfam family "Bacterial small subunit ribosomal RNA", at positions 362 to 758 of the family's 1533-position model. The record is from RNAcentral.
UUUUGGACAAUGGGCGAAAGCCUGAUCCAGCAAUGCCGCGUGUGGGAAGAAGGCCUUCGGGUUGUAAACCACUUUUGUACGGAACGAAACGGUCUGCUUUAAUACAGUGGGCUAAUGACGGUACCGUAAGAAUAAGCACCGGCUAACUACGUGCCAGCAGCCGCGGUAAUACGUAGGGUGCGAGCGUUAAUCGGAAUUACUGGGCGUAAAGCGUGCGCAGGCGGUUAUAUAAGACAGUUGUGAAAUCCCCGGGCUCAACCUGGGAAUUGCAUCUGUGACUGUAUAGCUAGAGUACGGUAGAGGGGGAUGGAAUUCCGCGUGUAGCAGUGAAAUGCGUAGAUAUGCGGAGGAACACCGGUGGCGAAGGCAAUCCCCUGGACCUGUACUGACGCUCAUGCACGAAA